RNAcentral lists this ribosomal RNA (373 nucleotides) under uncultured organism. RNAcentral's name for it is "partial 16S ribosomal RNA". It matches the Rfam family "Bacterial small subunit ribosomal RNA", at positions 527 to 896 of the family's 1533-position model. The record is from RNAcentral.
GUAGGUGGCAAGCGUUGUCCGGAAUUAUUGGGCGUAAAGCGCGCGCAGGUGGUUCUUUAAGUCUGAUGUGAAAGCCCCCGGCUCAACCGGGGAGGGUCAUUGGAAACUGGGGAACUUGAGUGCAGGAGAGGAAAGUGGAAUUCCACGUGUAGCGGUGAAAUGCGUAGAUAUGUGGAGGAACACCAGUGGCGAAGGCGACUUUCUGGCCUGUAACUGACACUGAGGCGCGAAAGCGUGGGGAGCAAACAGGGAUUAGAUACCCUGGUAGUCCACGCCGUAAACGAUGAGUGCUAAGUGUUGGGGGGAUUUCCGCCCCCUCAGUGCUGCAGCUAACGCAUUAAGCACUCCGCCUGGGAGUACGGUCGCAAGACUG